UAGGACAAAAAACUAAAUGUGCAGGACCAGGAUUAAGAAACACUGAUAUAUGUAAUCUCUGAGGUGAAUGUGGACUGCUCCAAUACAAACAGAGAGGGAGAGAGAGAGAGAGGAGGAAGGACAAGAGAGAGAGAGAGAGGAGGAAGGACAAGAGAGAGAGAGAGAGGAGGAAGGACAAGAGAGAGAGGGAGAGAGGAGGAAGGACAAGAGAGAGGGAGAGAGGAGGAAGGACAAGAGAGAGAGAGAGAGGAGGAAGGACAAGAGAGAGAGAGAGAGGAGGAAGGACAAGAGAGAGAGAGAGAGGAGGAAGGACAAGAGAGAGAGAGAGAGGAGGAAGGACAAGAGAGAGAGAGAGGAGGAAGGACAAGAGAGAGGUACAUAUACAGGUAUGUACCUCAUCUACCUACGUUAUACAGGUAUGUACCUCAUCUACCUACGUUAUACAGGUAUGUACCUCAUCUACCUACGUUAUACAGGUAUGUACCUCAUCUACCUACGUUAUACAGGUAUGUACCUCAUCUACCUACGUUAUACAGGUAUGUACCUCAUCUACCUACGUUAUACAGGUAUGUGCCUCAUCUACCUACGUUAUACAGGUAUGUACCUCAUCUACCUACGUUAUACAGGUAUGUACCUCAUCUACCUACGUUAUACAGGUAUGUACCUCAUCUACCUACGUUAUACAGGUAUGUACCUCAUCUACCUACGUUAUACAGGUAUGUACCUCAUCUACCUACGUUAUACAGGUAUGUACCUCGUCUACCUACGUUAUACAGGUAUGUACCUCAUCUACCUACGUUAUACAGGUAUGUACCUCAUCUACCUACGUUAUACAGGUAUGUACCUCGUCUACCUACGUUAUACAGGUAUGUACCUCAUCUACCUACGUUAUACAGGUAUGUACCUCAUCUACCUACGUUAUACAGGUAUGUACCUCAUCUACCUACGUUAUACAGGUAUGUACCUCAUCUAUCUACGUUAUACAGGUAUGUACCUCAUCUACCUACGUUAUACAGGUAUGUACCUCAUCUACCUACGUUAUACAGGUAUGUACCUCAUCUACCUACGUUAUACAGGUAUGUACCUCAUCUACCUACGUUAUACAGGUAUGUACCUCAUCUACCUACGUUAUACAGGUAUGUACCUCAUCUAUCUACGUUAUACAGGUAUGUACCUCAUCUACCUACGUUAUACAGGUAUGUACCUCAUCUACCUACGUUAUACAGGUAUGUACCUCAUCUACCUACGUUAUACAGGUAUGUACCUCAUCUACCUACGUUAUACAGGUAUGUACCUCAUCUACCUACAUUAUACAGGUAUGUACCUCAUCUACCUACAUUAUACAGGUAUGUACCUCAUCUACCUACGUUAUACAGGUAUGCACGUCAGCUUUGACAUCGGUUUUACA
Molecule: long non-coding RNA, 1408 nt
Filed under: Oncorhynchus kisutch (coho salmon)
Lineage: Eukaryota; Metazoa; Chordata; Actinopteri; Salmoniformes; Salmonidae
Description: lncRNA (ENSOKIG00005047938.1)
Source: RNAcentral